GCAUAUCAAUAAGCGGAGGAAAAGAAACUAACCAGGAUUCCCCUAGUAACGGCGAGUGAACCGGGACUAGCCCAACUUGAAAAUCCUUUCGAGGAAUUGUAGUCUAUAGAAGCAUCCUCAGCGGCGGCUCAAUCCCAAGUCCGAUGGAAGUCGGCGUCAGAGAGGGUGAAAACCCCGUCGGAUUGCUGUUCGUUGCUCCACGAGGUGCUUUCCAAGAGUCGGGUUGCUUGGGAAUGCAGCCCAAAAUGGGAGGUAAAUCCCUUCCAAGGCUAGAUACUGGCGAGAGACCGAUAGCGAACAAGUACCGUGAGGGAAAGAUGAAAAGAACUUUGAAAAGAGAGUUAAAAAGUGCUUGAAAUUGUUGAGGGGGAAGCGUUUGAUUGCUGUGUAUGCGCCUGGGCUGAUGGGUCUUUAACGANGCUCUGUAAGUGCCAGGUGCUGGUCAACAUGGAUUCGAUGGGCGGGAUAAACGCAGGCGGUGAUACCCUGCUUAUACCGUCUGUUGGAUCAAGGCUUGAAUGCCGCUUUGUCCUAUGGAACUGCGGUAUCAAGAUGUUGGCAGAAGGCAAUCAAACGGCCCGUCUUGAAACACGGACCAAGGAGUCCAACAUGUAUGCGAGUCGGUGGGUGACAAACCCAUGAGGCGCAAGUAACCUGACUGUUGGUGGGAACCCUUUACCGGGUGCACCAUCGACCGACCAUGAGCUUUUGCGAAAGGUUUGAGUACGAGCAUAAAUGUUGGGACCCGAAAGAUGGUGAACUAUGCCUGAGCAGGGCGAAGCCAGAGGAAACUCUGGUGGAGGCUCGUAGAUGUGCUGACGUGCAAAUCGCUUUUCGGACUUGGGCAUAGGGGCGAAAGACUAAUCGAACCAUCUAGUAGCUGGUUCCCUCCGAAGUUUCCCCCAGGAUAGCGAGAUCUCAUUGAAUCAGUUUUGUCGGGUAAAGCGAAUGAUUAGCGGUUCGGGGGCUGAAUCAGCCUUCACCGAUUCUCAAACUUUAAAUAGGCAAGACGCGUUGGGUUUCUUAAUUGAACCCUCGCAAUCAAUGUGAGCUCUCAGUGGGCCAUUUUUGGUAAGCAGAACUGGCGAUCGGGAUGAACCGAUAGUCGAGUUAAGGUGCCAAACUAUGCACUCACCUAGAUCCCACAAAGGGUGUUGAUUGAUAUAGACAGCAGGACGGUGGUCAUGGAAGUCGAAAUCCGCUAAGGAGUGUGUAACAACUCACCUGCCGAAUCAAUUAGCCCCGAAAAUGGAUGGCGCUGAAGUGCAUGACCUAUACUCGGCCAUUGAAGUGAGUGCGACACUUCAAUGAGUAGGAGGGCGUGGAUGUCGAUACGAAGCUUGAGGCGUGAGCCUGAGUGAAUCGGCAUCUAGUGCAGAUCUUGGUGGUAGUAGCAAAUAUUCAAAUGAGAACUUUGAAGACUGAAGUGGAGAAUGGUUCCAUGUGAACAGCAAUUGGACAUGGGUGAGUCGAUCCUAAGAGAUGGGGUAAUCCUGUGUGAAGAGAGCAUUUAUUGCUCAACCCAUCGAAAGGGAAAGGGGUUAAAAUUCCCCUACUUCGAACAGGCGGUUGACGGUAACGUAAGCGAGCCCGGAGACACCGGUAUCGGCCCUGGGAAGAGUUCUCUUUUCUUUUUAACAGCUCGAAGACCCUGGAAUCGAAUCAUUCGGAGAUAGGGUCUAGUAGCUGGUAAAGCAUCACAUUUCUUGUGGUGUCCGGUGCGCCGAUAACGGUCCUUGAAAAUCCGGGGGAGCAAAUACCGAUCUGUCGAAGUCGUACACAUAACCGCAUCAGGUCUCCAANGUGAACAGCCUCUANUCGAUGGAACAAUGUACAUAAGGGAACUCGGCAAAAUGGAUCCGUAACUUCGGGAAAAGGAUUGGCUCUGAGGAUUGGGCCUAGGGGUCUGUACUUUGAAGCUCGCUGCUGUCGAUGGUCUGCUUUACUGGCAACGGUGAAGUGGGCCGUUGCGUGCGGUGGGUGGAAGGGUACAGAAGGCCCGUCAAACGGUCGUUCCCUAGGCAAUGAACAAUCAACUCAGAACUGGUACGGACAAGGGGAAUCCGACUGUUUAAUUAAAACAAAGCAUUGUGAUGGCGCCAAAGCGUGUUGACACAAUGUGAUUUCUGCCCAGUGCUCUGA
Molecule: ribosomal RNA, 2142 nt
Filed under: Chlorococcum echinozygotum
Lineage: Eukaryota; Viridiplantae; Chlorophyta; Chlorophyceae; Chlamydomonadales; Chlorococcaceae
Description: eukaryotic LSU rRNA
Rfam family: Eukaryotic large subunit ribosomal RNA
Source: RNAcentral